CACGUAGGAGGCAAACGUUAUCCGGAUUUACUGGGCGUAAAGCGCGUGUAGGUGGUACUGUAAGUAGGGCGUGAAAGCUCCUGGCUCAACUGGGAGAGGCCGUUCUAAACUACAGAACUAGAGGAUGGUAGAGGGAGGUGGAAUUCCAGGUGUAGCGGUGGAAUGCGCAGAUAUCUGGAGGAACACCGGUGGCGAAGGCGGCCUCCUGGACCAUUCCUGACACUCAGACGCGAAAGCUAGGGUAGCAAACGGGAUUAGAGACCCCGGUAGUCCUAGCCCUAAACGAUGUAGACUAGGCGUCGGAAGCUUAAUCGCUUUCGGUGUCCAAGCUAACGCGAUAAGUCUACCGCCUGGGGACUACGGCCGCAAGGUUA
Molecule: ribosomal RNA, 374 nt
Filed under: uncultured bacterium
Lineage: Bacteria
Description: bacterial SSU rRNA
Rfam family: Bacterial small subunit ribosomal RNA
Source: RNAcentral